This 429-nucleotide ribosomal RNA is filed under the name Actinomycetes bacterium. RNAcentral describes it as "Actinobacteria bacterium partial 16S ribosomal RNA". It matches the Rfam family "Bacterial small subunit ribosomal RNA", at positions 355 to 776 of the family's 1533-position model. Lineage: Bacteria; Bacillati; Actinomycetota; Actinomycetes. The record is from RNAcentral.
UAGGGAAUCUUCCGCAAUGGGCGAAAGCCUGACGGAGCAACGCCGCGUGAGUGAUGAAGGUCUUCGGAUCGUAAAACUCUGUUAUUAGGGAAGAACAAAUGUGUAAGUAACUAUGCACGUCUUGACGGUACCUAAUCAGAAAGCCACGGCUAACUACGUGCCAGCAGCCGCGGUAAUACGUAGGUGGCAAGCGUUAUCCGGAAUUAUUGGGCGUAAAGCUCGCGUAGGCGGUUUUUUAAGUCUGAUGUGAAAGCCCACGGCUCAACCGUGGAGGGUCAUUGGAAACUGGAAAACUUGAGUGCAGAAGAGGAAAGUGGAAUUCCAUGUGUAGCGGUGAAAUGCGAAGAGAUAGGGAGGAACACCAGUGGCGAAGGCGACUUUCUGGUCUGUAACUGACGCUGAUGUGCGAAAGCGUGGGGAUCAAACAGG